UAGUCAUAUGCUUGUCUCAAAGAUUAAGCCAUGCAUGUCUCAGUGUAAACUUUUAAACGGUGAAACUGCGAAUGGCUCAUUACAACAGUUAUAGUUUAUUUGAUGUUCAUUCUUACAUGGAUAACCGUGGGAAUUCCAGGGCUAAUACAUGCGGCUCGAAAGAGCGAGUGUUUAUUAGAUUCAAACCAAAACCGGGCAACCGGGUACAUUGGAAUGAUAAUAACCUAUCGAAUCGCAUGCCGUAUGGCGGCGAUAGAUCAUUCAAGUUUCUGACCUA
Molecule: ribosomal RNA, 277 nt
Filed under: uncultured eukaryote
Lineage: Eukaryota
Description: partial 18S ribosomal RNA
Rfam family: Eukaryotic small subunit ribosomal RNA
Source: RNAcentral